AUCUAAAUAGUUUAAUGGUAGAAUAAUAAUUUGUGGUGUUAUAGGUAUAUUUUGUAUUUUAGAUU
This 65-nucleotide transfer RNA is filed under the name Ochterus marginatus. RNAcentral's name for it is "tRNA-His". The record is from RNAcentral. Lineage: Eukaryota; Metazoa; Arthropoda; Insecta; Hemiptera; Ochteridae.